This 230-nucleotide long non-coding RNA is filed under the name Elaeis guineensis (African oil palm). RNAcentral describes it as "long non-coding RNA (EGUI_LNC066136)". Lineage: Eukaryota; Viridiplantae; Streptophyta; Magnoliopsida; Arecales; Arecaceae. The record is from RNAcentral.
AUCUAAAUUUUACACACAUAUAUGAGAUAUAUGUUUAUAUAUUAAAUCUGAAAAUUGGUUUUAUGAUUUAAAACUUAUCUUUCAUGUAAAAACUUUAGAUCUAAAAUUUAGUUUUGAAAUCUAAAAUUUAUAUUUGUGCAUGAAGAUUUUGGUUAUGAAAAAAAUUAAAAGUUAGGUGUUAGCCAAUUUCGCAAGUGCACGAAAUCGCUCAAGUAAUAUAAUGAUAAAUA